UACGAAGGGGGCUAGCGUUGCUCGGAAUCACUGGGCGUAAAGCGCACGUAGGCGGAUUGCUAAGUCAGGGGUGAAAUCCUGGAGCUCAACUCCAGAACUGCCUUUGAUACUGGCGGUCUCGAGUCCGGGAGAGGUGAGUGGAACUGCGAGUGUAGAGGUGAAAUUCGUAGAUAUUCGCAAGAGCACCAGUGGCGAAGGCGGCUCACUGGCCCGGUACUGACGCUGAGGUGCGAAAGCGUGGGGAGCAAACAGG
This 253-nucleotide ribosomal RNA is filed under the name uncultured bacterium. RNAcentral's name for it is "partial 16S ribosomal RNA". It matches the Rfam family "Bacterial small subunit ribosomal RNA", at positions 524 to 776 of the family's 1533-position model. The record is from RNAcentral.